This 2260-nucleotide long non-coding RNA is filed under the name Monomorium pharaonis (pharaoh ant). RNAcentral's name for it is "uncharacterized LOC118645399". Lineage: Eukaryota; Metazoa; Arthropoda; Insecta; Hymenoptera; Formicidae. The record is from RNAcentral.
AUUUUUUAAGUAUAAUUUUUUAAAUAUAAUUUGUGUAUAACUUUUUUAAAAAAUUUCUCAAAUUAUUUAUCUUAGAAUAUUUCAUAUUUUACAUAUAUGAAAAAUACUGAGAAAAGAUGUUACACUUUCUCAGUAUUUCUAAAGUGUUUUAAUUUGUAGAAAACUUGUGAGAAACAUUUUUACUAGGGCAAUUAAAGUUCGAUACAAAAAAUUAUAUUUUAAAAAUUAUAACCGCAAAAUAAAAAAGAUAUAAAGUCCGUGACACACGUAAUGUAUGUGUUCAUGUUAAAUUGCAUGUGAAUUAGUAUUGUUUCUUGAUCACAAAAACAAUGUAUCGCAAGUUUAAUAAAAUGUUUUAGUUGCCACCAAUCCCAGUAAGAAAUGACUCAUCAAAUCGAUGUCAAAUUGAUGUCGAAUCGAUGAGUUAUUUCGACAUCGGAUCGAAAGUAUCAUAUUGAUAUCAUUUCGAUCUCGAAUCAAGAUUUUACCAAUAACGAGAAUGUCACCGAGUUAUAACAGUAAAAUUGAACAAAACAAUAACAGGAGUGGCUAUUUAUCAUUCAUGUCAUGUUAUUUAAGGCAACUCAAAAAUAAGUCGAAAUUCAAACAAACGUCGAGUUUUUUACCUCUGCUAGCACUAUCGAGCUAAUUGCGACGUCCAAGACGUCGUUUUGGCAUCGUUUCGAUAUUAGAUUUCUCACUGGGUUGAAUUGGUAAUUGCAAUUCUUCAAACAUACGAUUUGAUAAUUCUAAUGGUUUUCUUUUAACCUUUUGCAUAUGAUUUUCGAAUUUAAAACAGCUAAAAUUGUCUAAAUAACCAAAGGUUUUUACAUAGUUGGCCAAAUGAAUGAGAUUAUGAAUGUUGUAUGACAAAUAUUCGUCACCAUAAAUCUUUCCAUAAUUUGAAACAAACCAUACCAAUAACGAAUUAGCAUAAGCAUUAAACAAUAUACAUAACUGUGGGUUACUUAAUCCUAUAGAAAUCUCGUUAUAGCAACAGUAAGACAAACAAAAUAAUCAUAAUAUAUUGGUCACAUUAUUGACUUCAUUAUAACAAUUCCAGUAUAUAACAAGAAUUGUCGGAACUCUGUAGCUUUCCAUCUCUCAAGUUCAUGUAAACUUCUUGGUUUUCUUGAAAAUUCUGCUGAAAUACAGGACCUAAUUACUUUUAGACGAAACGAAACAGAAUUUAUAUCUUCUGCUGUCAAUCUAAUAUUUCUAUUCCCUUUAAUUCAAAAUCGCAGCAAUCUUUUCAUAAUACCUAAGCAAAUUAAAUGCAUGUAAUCCAAUGGAAUUUGUGAAAUCAUAUCAAUUAAUAAUUUUUCCAAUAUAAAAUUAUGUUCCUAAACUAUGUUCAAUUUGAAUUCGAUUUCUAAAUGUAUUGUUUGUACGUAAAGUACAAUCAAUUUCGGGAAAAGUUACUUUAUUUUUUACAAAGUCACCUUCUUGUAUACAUUUAGAACAAGAAAAAUAUCCACACUGACUUUUCAUAUAAGUAAUGAAUGAUUCAGUCGAAGCGUCACAUACAAUUGCAUUAAUAACAACUCUAAACUUUUUAUUGUAAACAGUUAUACCACGUUGAGAAAGUACAAUAAAUUUAUUAACAAAAUCAGUUAGAAAUUUAUAUAGCGUCAGUAGGCUUGCACAUACCAUGAUAUACUCCAAUAAUAAAAGGCAUUGUGUAAACAUCAAUUUCUUCAAUUGAUGCCAAAAUCGGCCAAAAUUGACUACCGGAACUCUUACAAAGUGACCAGAAGAAAAGUGUACAUAGCAACCACAGCCUACACCUCUAAAAUUAACGGACGCAUUUCGUGGGGUUUCAAGUAAGACUCUGACAAUAUUAGGUAAUUCAAUAUGACCGUGUUUUUUUAGAAUCAAAGGUAAUUUGUUAGCUGUAUUAUGUGAAAUGUUCUCUUCAAUGAUUAAUUUUUGUAAAUCUGUUCGUAAAUUUGUUUAAUUUAUACAAUCGCUAAUAUCUGCCAAUGUAGGAGUGUCAUCUUUAUCAAAUGAAGAUCGUGAUUCAAUAUCACAUUCUUCAUCAAAUGAAGAACAUGAUUCAAUAUCUACCGGAGAAAGUGCUAUGUUCCGAACAAUCGAUUGUAUUGAAGAAUCUUUAUAACAAUGCAAUUCACAAUUAAUUAACCGGUUCCUUCAUCUUUUUGAUAAAUACCGUAUGUCCUUAGACAUGAUGCAGAGAGAUUGUGGUUAUUCAAGAAGGCUAUAAAAAUUUUACAUAAAAAAAUAUUUUUUUAAUGUUGUA